RNAcentral lists this ribosomal RNA (427 nucleotides) under Actinomycetes bacterium. Its description in RNAcentral is "Actinobacteria bacterium partial 16S ribosomal RNA". It matches the Rfam family "Bacterial small subunit ribosomal RNA", at positions 355 to 776 of the family's 1533-position model. The record is from RNAcentral. Lineage: Bacteria; Bacillati; Actinomycetota; Actinomycetes.
UGGGGAAUUGUUCACAAUGGGCGCAAGCCUGAUGACGCAACGCCGCGUGGAGGAUGAAGGUCUUCGGAUUGUAAACUCCUGUUGCUCGGGACGAAAAGCCUCGACCUAAUACGUCGAGGUCUGACGGUACCGAGUGAGGAAGCCCCGGCUAACUCUGUGCCAGCAGCCGCGGUAAUACAGAGGGGGCAAGCGUUGUUCGGAAUUACUGGGCGUAAAGGGCGCGUAGGCGGCCUGCUAAGUCGAACGUGAAACCCCGAGCUCAACUCGGGAACUGCGUCCGAUACUGGCGGGCUUGAAUCCGGGAGAGGGAUGCGGAAUUCCAGGUGUAGCGGUGAAAUGCGUAGAUAUCUGGAGGAACACCGGUGGCGAAGGCGGCAUCCUGGACCGGUAUUGACGCUGAGGCGCGAAAGCUAGGGGAGCAAACGGG